This 82-nucleotide transfer RNA is filed under the name Candidatus Neomicrothrix parvicella. Its description in RNAcentral is "tRNA-Tyr". It matches the Rfam family "tRNA". From Rfam's summary of the family: Transfer RNA (tRNA) molecules are approximately 80 nucleotides in length. RNAcentral also lists the same sequence under 3 other names. Lineage: Bacteria; Bacillati; Actinomycetota; Acidimicrobiia; Acidimicrobiales; Microthrixaceae. The record is from RNAcentral.
GGGUCGGUGCCCGAGUGGACAAAGGGAGCGGACUGUAACUCCGCCGGCUCAGCCUUCGUAGGUUCAAAUCCUACCCGGCCCA